Long non-coding RNA from Leopardus geoffroyi (Geoffroy's cat), 1125 nucleotides. RefSeq lists it as uncharacterized. Lineage: Eukaryota; Metazoa; Chordata; Mammalia; Carnivora; Felidae. The transcript is spliced from 4 exons. The record is from RefSeq and is a predicted model, not a curated record.
GGAUCUGUGAUCACACCAGUGUUGCAGAAGGCAGAUUCCCUAACUGGUGGUCCACUACAAAAGAAUGAUGGCAGCCAUUUCAGUGAAAAGGAUCAGCAUGAAAGCAGACCUGCAAAGAAAAUUUCUAAGAAAAAGAACAAGGUCAAAAAGCAAAUUACUUCUAUGGAUGACCUUGUCGUCUUCAUUCAGUCAUCUGAAACAGCUUCAGAGCAUUGUGAGUUGCCUUACUCUAAGAAUUUCAUGUUGCUGAUUGAACAACUUGGCAUGGAUUGUAAAGAUUAUGCUGGCUUCUUGAAAAUCCAAGAUAUACUUGUUUCCUAUGAGAAAUUAUGGAAACUUAACAAAAUCACUGUAAACUUCUUACAGGAAAAAUGACAAAAAUGGAAAAAAUGGUUAGUGCACUAUAAAAUGAGCUAUGAGAAGCCAAAGACAUGCUAUCACGGUUAGAGCAUCAAAAAGUGGAAUGGGAACAUGAAUUCUACAGUUUGAGGUAUAGCAUCUUGGCUUUAAGGAAAUAUUUCAGCUCUUUCCUUUUAUACUACAGAUGUGUAGGGGCAGUUUUGUAAUUGCUGACCUACCUUAUGGGAUUUUCCCGGAAAGAAUACUUGUUUAGUGUUGCGAGGUAUGCGAUUCUUGGAAAUAACACAGCAAUUUCUUAACAGUGAAUACUUCUAAUAAUUUAAUGUAUAUUCCAAAUCACAAUUUUAAUGGCCAUAUAAAAGUCCACCAUAGUCCAAGAAACAUCAUUAUUUAAGAGAUUGAAUUCUGCUUGUUUUUCAUCUUUCUGUAUUUUAAUCAAUGCUGUCAGGAAUGUCUUUUAUAGAAAUCUGUUGCUACAUGUCUGAUUACUCACUUGGAAUCAAUUCUUCAAUAUAAUAUAAUCUGGUUAAAGUAUAAAAAUUUCACAAAAGGUCUUUGUUCCAUAUUUUUAAAUUGUUCUCAGGAAAGUUUAUAUUACUUUCUGUACCUACCAACAGAGUAUAAAAUGGUCAUUUUUCUCAAGACAGUAAAAUUCCCCAAAAUUGAUUCCGUUUGCUUCUUAACAUGCAGGGGUUAAAAGGUAAAGUGGGGGUGCCUGGGUGGCUCAGUUGGUUAAGCAUCUGGCUUCGGCUCAGGUGAUGAUCU